This is a long non-coding RNA of Prinia subflava (tawny-flanked prinia), 10117 nucleotides long. RefSeq lists it as uncharacterized. The record is from RefSeq and is a predicted model, not a curated record. NCBI's taxonomy places the organism in Eukaryota, Metazoa, Chordata, Aves, Passeriformes, Cisticolidae. The transcript has 4 exons.
UGCAGGCUUCAGGCACACCUCAUCAGCACAUGUAAUAUAUCUACUUCAGAAGCAGAGAGAAGUCCACUGGAGAUGGCCACAAACGCACUCCAGUGGCGAGAGCCAAUGAUCCGAUAAAGCUGCAAGAUGACCUGGGAAAUGCAUAAUUUUAAUGAAUAAGGAGGAAUGUGUUCACAAAGACCAGCUGCAGAUCAGGAAAAAAAUGGGCUGGAUUGAAAUGCAGCAUGAAUCACAAGAGAAGUUUAGAAGCACAAGAAGAUGAAUGUGUCCCUAGUGACUCAACAGAGAACAUCUGGGGAGGACCUUGAAGAAACACUUCUGGAGAGUAUGUGUCUUUAACUUGUGACAAAAAGCACUGAAGUUGUGAUCAACAGAAAGGACUUUAAGGAAGAUCCUCAUGAAGAAUCAAAAAAUCUAUGCAUAUCUGGCAUGCACAAAAGGACCUGUGUAUGUUUUGCCAGCAUGCACUGUGUCUUUAGCCCCCUCUUAAAUCUCUCAGGAACUUGAAUGGAUGUCUCGGUCUGGGCUCUCUGAAGUCAAAUUAUGCCUCUGUUUCCUUCUGGGAUUUCACCAGGAAGUGCUUCAAGUACCAAGCUGUAGGCUGAUAGUAUGAGAUUUGCAGACCUGAGAAAUUCAGAUAAGCCCAUACAAACGUUGAACCUCCAAACCUUUUGAAGAUUGCCUGUCAUGAAGUGCAACUCCACUGCUGUCUGCAGACAGCACUGAAGCAUGAAUGGAAACAGAUCUCUGUUUCAAAAAGCUCCUGUGGGUGGCUUAAGGGCAAAACGAUAAAUAAAAUCACAUAUGGAAAUAUAAUGCCUUUCAGAGAAGUGCUCUGUCCCUUUGCAUACUUCAGUAUUUCUCUGCAUCCAUGAUGGUAACAGGAGCCCAUAAAAUCAAUUUAUUUCCUGCUUGCUCCAGCAGUUUCAUUGUGGUUGAUCCAAUGAAGUGAUGUGUUCUUUAAACAUUCAUUUCUCUAUUUAUACAGUCAAGCUGUUGUUGUUUACCAUAUUCCCAUUAAGCUGGUCAGGGGUGUAUAUUUGAGAGAAAAUCCAGCAGUAGCCAGAAGCUGUUGAAGUAGAAAGAAGACUAAACAACCAACAGGCAUUGAGAAGGAUGUAGUGUGGAGCAGAGCCUGGCCCAAGAGCCUAUGCCAAUAUUUCUGUGUCUGUGACUAAAGUCGUAGAGUAUCAAGAGACCUGCGUCAAGCAUUAGAUCACCACCCUGUUUUUAACAACAACAAAUAGCAGAUAAUACAGAAAAGUAUACAAGGACUGGGAAAGUUUAGGGUGGUGCUUCUUCUUGCAAACAUUCCCAGAUUCUAAUAUUCUUUGAGCAAGUUUUUUCCCAAACUACAUGUGUCAUGGACAUUACAUAGACAUGUUUAAGUUUCCUAUAGACUUUCUUCAGGAAAAGAUAGGGUUCAGAAGCCUAUUUCUAUGAGAAAAAAAUCAUGUGGCAAUUAAUUCUGCAAAAUCUCAAAUUGCCCACACUUAUACAUCACCUACAACUACAUAUUUUUCAGAGGAAAAGAAUAACGGUUAUAUUUUUUUCAUAAACUCCUUGUUAAAAAUUUUUGUUUGCUGCCUUUCUUGUUAUGAAGAAAGGACUGAUUAUUCAUUAUUCAUUAUCUGUUUCCCAUAAAUGUCACAAUUAUACUGACCCAAGAUGGAAGAGAAGAUUUCAUGUAGACCUAAACAACUUUCCAAUACCUAAGAUGAUGUCACUGAGAAAACUGUCAGGCUCUUCACAGUGUGAGGACAAGAUGAUGGACAUAUGUUGAAGCAAGAAAUUGUUAGAUUAAUUAAAAAGAUAAAUUUUUACACCAUGAGGAUGGUACAGCCAUGUAAGAUGUUGCCCAGAGAGGGACAGUUAACAUCUUUGGAGGUUUUUCAGAUAAACUCCAGAGGUCACCCUAUUAAAAAAUAGGUGGUUGGACUAGAGGGCCCCUGAGAUCUUUUCCUAACUGAGUGUCUUGGUUUGGAAAGACAGGUAUCUGUCAGGGAAAACUGGAGUUUCCCUUGGAAUGCAGAAUGUAAAACCCCCUCCCUCCAGAAUUAUUACAAUUUUGCAAUUAGGAGCUUUCAGGCAAAAAUAUGGGAGUAGGAAUAACAGCCCUUUACUAGGAAUAUUAAAAAAUACAAAUGCAGUAAUACAAAAAAAAAAAAAAAAAAAAAAAACAACAAAAAACCAAAAAAAACACACAAACAAGCAAACAAACAAAAUCCUAGAAAACUCUGACAGAGUCAGGAAUAUGACAUGACACCCUGUUGGCCAGGGUGUUGGAAACAGUCCAAAUAAAUCCUCCUGGAGUGACAGAUGUGGUUCUGUUGGAGUAGAGAUGAUCCUGUAGACAGGUUCAGUGGUGGUGAGAUGAGUCAGGUCUUCAUCUGAGAAUCCAGUGGAAAAGAGGGUGACUGGGGUCCCUGUGUCCCUGUUUUUAUCUGGGUAGGGAAUGGUUGGCUCCUCCCCACUGGGUAGAGCAUCUCACAAUGGGAUGGUGUAAUGUCUCAUGUCAUUGGUGAGCCUUAAUGGCCCAUUAACAGAAGAUAUCCCCUGCAGGGUGGACAAAGUUGAUGAAAGAGAUAAGAAACACUGCCCCACCUGAUUUUAACAGCUGGUCUAUUAUCAGAAGGCAUCCACCCUCCUCCCCCCUGGAGUUACAAGAGAUAAAGAAAAAAGAAACCAUUCCCCAACUGCUUUCUACAGAUGAAAUAGAAUACACAUUUUUUUUGGUUACAUAACCCAAGACACUGAGUUUCCUAUGAUCUUAUGUUGUAUUCCCUGUCACAUUUAUCUUUCCCAAAGAGAAAAGUUCUCUCUUAUAUAGAAAACAUUUAUUACUAUUGAAUAUUUUUGUUGCACUUCUACCUUUUCUUGUGUCAUUUUUGAUAAAGGGCAACCAGAACUGCACAUGCUUUUCAGUGUGCACUGAAGGUGUUCAGUGCUUUGUUCCUUAAUCCCUCAGUAGUAUCUUUGUCCUGUUUUUUUUGCCUUUUGGACUGAACAUCAGUAUGCAGUAAAUAUUUAUUAUACAAUAAUCUAACAUCUGUGGGUAGAUGAAUACCUGUCAAGUGGUCACAGCAAAUUUGCAACCCAUCAUUUUGUAUAUACAAUUAAGUCUGGUCCUACUCAUUGACCCAGAUUUUCAUCUGUUGUUUAAUGUCUAAUAUUAUUAACUCUACUUGCAGUACCUUCAGUCAGGAUAGCUUUGAACUAAUCUGAUUUUUUUUACAUCAUAUGAGAGUUUCAUUGUAGAAUAAACAGUAAUGUAAAUUAUAUAUUUCUUUCAUACUAUGUUUUUGCCUAUCUUCAAGGCACCUUAAAACCUGUUAGAGAAUGAAAAUUCACUGUCAUAGACAAUGAAGAUGGGAAGUUCCGUUACUAUUGUCCAUGCUUUUCUUGUUUUAUUAUUUUUUCCACUGGUAUUAUUUUAGACCUAAUUUUCUUGUUCUUCUAGCUGGGCAUGGCUUCCAUUUCUAAAUUAUCAGCGUAUUAGCCUUCUGUACUCUAAUGUUUAGCCUUGACGUUGUUGUUCUGUUCCUUUCAAUGUUAUUUGGCUUGAUAGAAUGUUUAUUCAAAGUCUCUGCUGCCAUGUCUCUAUAACUUUUGGCUAUUCUUAAUAAAUUUCCAUUAAUAAAGCUUCUAGGGCAUAACUAAUAAUUAUGUAUUAGAACAAUUCACACAUAUCUCAGGAGGAACGUGGGAAUUGGUUCUCCUUUUGAGUAUUCUCUAAUUUGCUGUCCAUAGGAGAAAUCAAUUAUGGCAUGGAAAACCACAGCCUUUGUGUGUGGUUUUCAUGACAUCUACUUAACCCAUGCAACAGACUGAGUCCCCUCUUCAGCUUUCACAGUCUCUCCACUUCUGUGGUUGUGUGGCAAGUUGUACAUACUUAUUAUGGGACCUCUGAUGGGUUGGGGAGGGAAAGGUUGCAAGAUUUAAGCUACUGGGGAAAAUUGUCUGCUUUUCUAAAGGAAGGAUUUACCAUGUCAGAAGUUCUUGCAUCAUUUUUAUCCUUCAGUGUUUCCCGGUGCCCUAUUAAUGUGGCAUUCUUUCAUUAAAGGCUUAUUUUUAAGGUUGGUAAUGUAACAUGUCAAGCAAUCUGUAAACACUUUAUUUCUGCAUUAUCAUUGCUUUAAUUGUUUUAAUAAGAGUAAGGCUGACAUUUGGGUUUGUUUUUUCCUGACUGAGGUUCUGAAAACCAUUCAGCUAUUUCAGAGGCCAGAAUUUUGACACCAAAGGGGAAACCCCAAAGCCAGAAAGCCUCAAGAAAAAAACACUAAUCAGUAGGGAAAGGGAAAAACGCUUCUUAAGUUUCAUUUACAUAAAUUACAUCUUUGCCCAGAAAGCUUUUUCCGAUGUUUUCAGUUAUGUGUUUGUAGUAUCUUUGUAUUCUGGCUGUGGAAAAACAGUCAUUACUGGAUAUGCAGGUACAAAUGAUGUUCAUGGAAUGGGAAAAAAUGUAGAAGAGAAAUCCUCAGGCACUAGUGUAUUCAUAGUACAGAAAUGUAGAAUAUUAGCUAUCACUUUGUCCUGAACUGUAAAAACUAUCCAGAUGAUAAGAUGAAAAGGAUGACCACAGCCAUAUGUCUUUGAUUCCAAACCACAAGAAGUAUCCACCUACCAGGGAAAGUUUGAGACCAUGAGCAAAUCUCGGAAAUGAUGUGAAGUUUCUUAGGUCAGAACCUUCUAAGUGCUGCAGUGCUGCAUUACUUGCAUCUAUGGACUAGGUUUUACAUAUCAGAUAGCUUUUAUGAAUAGUCUUUUCAGCCACUUCUAUGGAGACUUUACUGAAAAUGUGUUACCCAAUAAGAGACCUGUGAAAGGGGAAGGUCAUCUGGCUCCUAUUAGUGACUGAGGCCACCUCUGUGUUGAAAUCCAAAGGUGUAAAGGCAAGAAAAGAAACUUAAGACUUUUAGAUUGUGGUAUGCUGUUACCAAAGGAUAGAAGGCAGUGAAACAUAGUCUUGGAUUCAGGCCUGUUCAAGAGCUGGCUUCACUGAAUGCUAAGGCAGUACAUGUGAGCCAGUUCUAUACUGGUUGGAAAGAAAGGUAAGGGGCAUUUAUCCCUCCAUGCAAAAAGGGCCUUUGACUAGGAAUUAUUCUUGCCCCAUCCCCAGUCUGCAAUGGAAGUGGUUUAGGAUGCUGGCUGAAAGGGUUAGAGAGGGAUAAAUACCACUGUAGAUGGCAGUGGAGAAAAAACAUGAAGAGAUCUCUGUGCUAGGAAUGAAUAAGAUAUCAUUUUUAUGAAACGGAUAAAGCACUUGGCAGAAACAUCUGCAUGUGGUUAACUGAUCCUGAAAGAGAAACCUGUCUGUUUCCUGUACUGUCAGCUACCUAUUCAAAAUAAACUUAUCCUUGGGAGUUGAAAAGCAGAGAUAGAAGGUUAUCAUGAGACAACCAUUGCACAUCUGAUAACCACAGGUCAUGAGGAAACACUGGCCAGCCAAGUGUGCUGGCACUCGUGCUGCAAAGACUGUCAGCAGCACUCUAUCCAUUCACAUCCAUGCACUUGUGCUAGGGUCAAUCCCCACAGCACACUCUUCUGAACUUACUGCCCGAGUCAUGUCAAUUUAAAUAGGUUUAGCAUCUAUUCCAAUAACUGCAAACCACCCUGGAAGUUUGCUACUGAUCUCAUUUGGCUAUUGUGUGCAACUAAGCUGUUUAGGCUUCUUAGUUUUUUGUUUUGUUUUUGUUUUGUUUUAUUUUGUGGGUUUUUGGGGGUUGUUUUGUUUUUGUUUUGGUUUGGGUUUGUUUUAUUUGUUUGUUUUUGGGUUUUUGGUUUUGGGGUUUUUUUUGUUUGUUUGUUUGGUUUUUGUUGUUGUUGUUGUUGUUGUUGUUUUUGUUUUAACUUUUGAUUUAUCAGGAGAGGUAAUUUAAACAAGUUAGCUUUUAUUUCUGUUUAUUUUUUCAUGUCUUUUCCUUCUCCAAAUUUAGUGAGGUUGUACAGGUGAUCCUGUGGGUCUGUCAAUGAGCUUGACAAUGUAAACAUUUUGAUUAAAUCCAGUCUGUUUUAACCAAGUGUAUCAGGCACUUCUGCCUUCUGUGGUCUGUUGCAAAGUAUAACAAUUGAUCCAGUUCCUGCUAAAUAUCUAAGCCCAGAUCACACUUUGAAGUGAAUGGCAUGAUAUCUAUUUUUUGGUGGAAGCAGAUUCAAGCAAAAUUACUUUUUACAGAAAAACACAGACAAUUUUGUAUUUUUGUCUUUGCAGUGGCAGACACAACUUGAUCGGUAACAUUCCCAAAUCCUUCAGAAAACCCUCCAAUUAUAGAACAGUUCAAAAGUGUCUGGGUUAAUUUCAGUAAUAUUGCAAUAUGGAGGACAGUGAGACAGCAGAUUUGCCAGCCAUGAAUCUAUUCAGCAGUUUAUAACAGGUCUGCUUAUGGACACCUGACCUCAUGUUCACUGUAAACAUUGGGCUACAUUUAAUGAAGGAGGUAGGCCUGGCACAAAGAUGAGGGAUCCAAUGUGCCAGAAAUAUAUAACAUAGCCACCUAAGGCUAGCUAUAGUUGUCUGGGACCUUGCCCUUUUGUAUGCCUCCAGGAUAUAAAGAAGUGCUUGCUAAUAGAAGUGCUAAUAGACAGAUAUGGUUCUGGAGGAUCCUUAUGCAAAGUGUAAGUAUUAAUAACUGCUUUACAAAAGGAUCAAACUCUGCUGAAAGUUAUCUGGAAUUUCUUUCUCUUUUUUGUAAUGUGAAGCUCUAAUGUGAUAUAUACAGUUUUCUCUCAAAGUGUGUGACCCUGCCAUCCUCUCUCUCAUGGCAGGCACCAGGUCUGCUCACUGUCACCCUCUCUCUCUGAUAUGAUGAAUGUAGAACUGAUGCCUUCACAAUGGCUUAUCUUCAAAGUGGGAACUUCUCCCCUCCCACUCCACCCUGGUGCAUUGUAUAGCCUGAUGUUUAUAGUCUUGUGGUUGAAGAUCUUCCUGGGAAAUAGGGGUUUGCCUGCUUGCAUGAUAGGAGGAAAUUGCAUUUUAGCUUCCUAAUUACCACUCUUCUACUGUGUGAAAAAGGGAGAGGGAGGAUAAAUCUCUGUGGUCUCUUUUAGAAAGGCAGGAAAAACUAGAGAGGUCUUGAGCACACUGCCUGAGCAGCUUUCAGGUGACCAUGGCAGAGACACUGGGGAGAACACACUCCAGUCACUGAAUACUUUUAGGAUGCCGUGGUGGUGUCACUCUGAGCUUUACUUCAAGGUCACAGUGUGGUGCUCAUGAAGUUAAAGUAGAUGAUGUAUGAACUUGAUUAGAUAGGUUCAAGAUGAAACUAUGACUCUCGGCUGAAAUGAGAUCUCUUUUGGAUGUCUCCUUUGAGUUUUACUUGUGUACUGCUGAGUUUCUCAUAACAUGAGUCUUCCCAAGAUAUUUAGCAAAGAUAAGAGAGAAAGGUUUUGGGCCUUUUAUUGAUAUGAUGUUGAAAUAAUUUUCCUUCAUCCUGUAAACCAAAAUGCAUUUGCAGGUUGAGGAAACUGGUGGAACUGAACAGCUUUACAUUUCACCCACUUUCACUGAGGCUGGGAACAGCAGGCUCAAGGGCUUUGUUCAUUAUCUAAUUUGGGGCACUACAAAAAGGAAAACUUCACACAGGCUUUCCAGACCUCCCUCAUAACAUGGAAUUUUCUCUGUUGUGCCUUCAAACCCUAUGUCCUGUAUAAAAAGCACACAGGAGAUAAUUUUUUCCAUAUUUUCCUUGUUUGUCUCGUAUCUAUUCUUUCCCAGGCUGCAGCUAUGAGAACAUAAGCACUUACAGUGACGGAGAGAGGGAAAGAGGGUUUCAGCAUUUCUAUUUUAACUUAAAACCUAGCAUUUCUUAUUUUAACUUAAAGCCUAACAUCCUUAUGCAUCUACUUAACAUGUUUCACGCUGUCUGUACAUUACAGUUCAAAUGUGCAAGGAGACAAAAAAAAAAAAAAAGAAGAAAGAGGACCUCAUCUAUAAUCAGUAAAAUUUUCCAUCAGCCUCUCAGACCUCUUGUAACUUUAGCAAAGACUUUACUAGUGAUUCAUUGCUGGUGGUGUUUUUUUUUUUUGUGUGUUUGUUUUUUUUUUUUUUUUUUUUUUUGGUUUUUUUUUGUUUUGUUUUUUUUUUUUAACUCUGCUCUGAUGUAAACUGUUAUCUGAGGGACAGAAAGUCCGAGGUGUAUUCUUUCUUUGAGAUGUUGCAUUGAAGUAAGACCUCAGUUGUUCUUUUGCUCUUAUGGUAUCAGGGUGAAGCACAUGUCAUGAACUAGUGGCCCUUGGCAUUUUAAUGCUUAUCAUUUCUUGCUUCCUUAAGAAGGUAGGAUAGUUCAGUGUAUUGAAUAAACUGGGACUGGGUGGAGUAAGUGGGAACAUCUGCAUGUCUUAUGUUAUGACUCCCCUAGCAGUCAUCCUUAGUGCUGUAUGGUUCCAGAAAGUCUCUCAAGCAUAUAGAUGGUGGCGUUCCAACAAGCUGGAACCGCUGGCUGCAGCUGAUGUUUCAGCAAGUUACUUUAUCUGCAGCUGUCCUCAUCUGUUGCUAGAUGUAGGGAAGAAUAUCCUUAGAUUUUGUAUGCUGAAGGAGGGGCAGAAUUCCAAAUGAUUAAAAAAAAAAAAAAAAGAAAAAAAAUACAGAAAUCGAAAAAGCAAAAAAGAAUACAAAGAGAAGCUGAAGUCUGUGAAGAUACAAGGGAGUUUUAGAAGAGUUUAUGUCAGUGGUUACUUUUAAAUCCGUGGUAGGAUUACAUUAGCAGGAUGAGCUCCUCUAGUUCAGUCACUAUGAUAAAAUCCACUACUGUUAAGAAUGGAUUUAAAUGAUCAUACAAUCCCAGUAAUUAUCCCUAAUUCUUACAGAUAAAUCCAUAGUGAUAGUAUUUAUUAACAAAAUACAAAUAUGUAUUUAAAGUAAAAUUGUGCUAUCACCUUUCCUCAGAAAUAUGAACAUCUAUUGUAAUAGUUAACUUCAACUCGAUUUCUUUUUUGUGUGUGUAAUUUUAGUUUAUAUGCCAUGAAAAUACAUUGCCUCACAAGAUGAGAUAGCUCACAAGUUCCAGCAGCCAUAACAACAGCUGUAAAUUUGCUUGGUUUAUGGUUACUUUGCGGGUAGAUUCAUCUGACCAGAUAAGAAGUUUCUAACUGCACAAUCUUAUUUUGUUUUGAAAACUGAACACAAUAAUACAAAAGUGUUAGAGAGAGAUGUGUUAAAUUGCACAUCUCAGCAUCAUUUAGCUGCCAUUUCCCCUACUGUAAUUCUCACUCUACUCUCUUUGCCACCCUGGCUCAGUCCAGUGAAUGGUAUUUCCCCUCCCUAUUGUCCCUCUGCUUCUUCAUUCUCUCAGAUCUACCAUAACUGAAUAACAUUUCAUUCUGAAUUGAGCUUUCAAGAACAUUAUUCCUAGUUCAUAAAUGAAAGCUGAAUUAGUUGGAUUUAAAGUAAGAUCCUUGGGGUCUUAUUGGCUUUAAUUGAUUUGUGGGACAAGGUGAUUUUUAUGUUCAAUUGUAUCUUUACUGGCAAUGAGCUGUCUUCCUCCUUUCAUCAUUUAAUGCAUAAUGGAGAGAAAAGAAAGAGCAUUCCAUAUUUCUACUUGUCAGGUUGCAAACAGCUGUGAAGGUACAUGGACCAUUCAAGAGAAAUGCCUUUUACUCAGAGAUAUUGAAUGCUGAUAAAGAGCAGAAAUUCUGCAAAGAAAAAAGAAUCCCUAAGCAACAAGCCUUAAAGUCAGAAUUGAGAUUUACAAAGAGAUUUAGAUUUAGAAACUGAUAUCAUUGUGUGUCUUGAGGAUGGGGAUAGGCAUGAGGUAAAUUUUUCUGGGUUUUCCACUGCCAGUACUAGUCCUAAUCACACUGAGUCCAGAGAACUGAAAUUUGUCCUCUCUGUUAAGAACACCAUCACAAUUAGAAAUCUUGCUGUUAGUAAAAGUCACUACAAGAUCUAAGAAAUAAGCCUGCUUGGUCCACAUUUCUGUUUAUGAAGGAAGCUUUUCUAUGAAGGAAAAUUGCAUGUUAAACCAGCUGAAAUUAUUUUUUAAAAAAGCAGCGAAGUAUUCUCACGCUACAUAAAUUUUGCUUUAUAAUUAAACACAUUUUCUGCAAGUAGAUUUUCCUUGCCAGAGAGAGAGCUGAUAACUUACUAGAGAAAAAUUAAUUUAUAAUGGCCAAGAUUCAC